GACGAACGCUGGCGGCGUGCUUAACACAUGCAAGUCGAACGGAAAGGCCCCUUUGGGGGUACUCGAGUGGCGCACGGGUGCGUAACACGUGAGUAACCUGCCCUUGACUUCGGGAUAACUUCAGGAAACUGGGGCUAAUACCGGAUAGGAAUCCUUGCUGCAUGGUGGGGGUUGGAAAGCUUCGGCGGUUUUGGAUGGACUCGCGGCUUAUCAGCUUGUUGGUGGGGUAGUGGCUUACCAAGGCUUUGACGGGUAGCCGGCCUGAGAGGGCGACCGGCCACAUUGGGACUGAGAUACGGCCCAGACUCCUACGGGAGGCAGCAGUGGGGAAUAUUGCACAAUGGGCGGAAUCCUGAUGCAGCAACGCCGCGUGCGGGAUGACGGCCUUCGGGUUGUAAACCGCUUUCAGCAGGGGCGAAGCUUGUGGUGACGGUACCUGCAGAAGAAGCACCGGCUAACUACGUG
Molecule: ribosomal RNA, 465 nt
Filed under: uncultured bacterium
Lineage: Bacteria
Description: partial 16S ribosomal RNA
Rfam family: Bacterial small subunit ribosomal RNA
Source: RNAcentral